AACCUCCGCAAUGUGAGAAAUCGCGACGGGGGGAUCCCAAGUGCCAUUCUUAACGGGAUGGCUUUUCAUUAGUGUAAAGAGCUUUUGGAAUAAGGGCUGGGCAAGACCGGUGCCAGCCGCCGCGGUAACACCGGCAGCUCUAGUGGUAGCAGUUUUUAUUGGGCCUAAAGCGUCCGUAGCCGGUUUAAUAAGUCUCUGGUGAAAUCCUGUAGCUUAACUGUGGGAAUUGCUGGAGAUACUAUUAGACUUGAGACCGGGAGAGGUUAGAGGUACUCCCAGGGUAGAGGUGAAAUUCUGUAAUCCUGGGAGGACCGCCUGUUGCGAAGGCGUCUAACUGGAACGGUUCUGACGGUGAGGGACGAAAGUUAGGGGCGCGAACCGGAUUAGAUACCCGGGUAGUCCUAACCGUAAACGAUGCGGACUUGGUGUUGGGUGGCUUUGAGCUGCUCCAGUGCCGAAGGGAAGCUGUUAAGUCCGCCGCCUGGGAGUACGGUCGCAAGACUGAAACUUAAAGGAAGU
This 519-nucleotide ribosomal RNA is filed under the name uncultured bacterium. RNAcentral's name for it is "bacterial SSU rRNA". It matches the Rfam family "Archaeal small subunit ribosomal RNA", at positions 345 to 866 of the family's 1478-position model. The record is from RNAcentral.